AACAAUAUCAUGAGCCGUACACCUCAGUUCGCACUGUAUCCCUGAAAAUACAUCAUUGUUUUUCUGGAUCAAGGUCUUUACUUCCUGUACUUGUGCUGGAGACAGUGUAGGUGAAACAUGCACUUCGGCUGCACGCCUGAGUGGGUGUGGGGUAUAUGACAAUUAGUGUUUCUCUCUCUAAAGCCACGCUUUUAACAGGUUUACGUGAUAUAUCUGUUCCGGGGACCGACGACCUGGCUGUCGGAUCCGAUAAUAAACCUCUCCUAUUUUCUCCAGCACUUGAUAUGAUCCCUUCAAUGUGGCUAACAGUUUACACUCUACCAUGGGGAUCAGCACAUUAUGUCCCGGUUGAAAUUCCCCCAGGGUAGCCUGCCGCUUAUAAGUAUGCCGCUGGUGCUCUGGUGCUCUUGUGCUUGUGGUUAUCCUGCCUAGCAUGGCUGUGAUGUGCUCUGUAACACUAGUAUAAGAGGUGAACUGGUGCUCCCAGGUUUCCCGUGCGAUGUCUAAGAUUCCCUGGGUAUGCCUCCCAUAUACCAGCUCAAAGGGUGAAAACCCCCGCGAGGCUUGGGGAACCUCUCUAAUGGCAAACAUCAGAUACGGCAACAUGAAAUCCCAGUUUUCCCCAUCCUUAUCUAUUACCUUCCAGAGCAUUGACUUCAGGGUGCGGUUGAAUCGCUCAACCAGCCCAUCCGUCUGAGGAUAGUAAACCGAUGUCCUCAACUGUUUCACCUGCCACAACUUGCAAAGGUCUGCCAUAAGGCGGGAUAAUAAAGGGGGUCUCCUGGUCAGUAAGGAUCUCUUUUGGAAUCCCUACCCUGGUGAACAGGGGCACUAAUUCCUUAGCUAUAAUUUUGGAAGACAUCGUCCGAAGGGGAUUGCCUUCUGGGUAGCGAGUGGCAUAAUCUAGGAUGACCGGAAUGUAUUGGUGCCCUCUGGCGGAUUUGGGUAGCGGGCCCACUAUAACCAUCGCUAUCCUCUCAAAUGGCGUUUCAAUUAUGGAGAUGUUAACUGGAACUCGGAGCACCCCCCACAAUCCAGUACUCCAGUGCUAGCCUCUCGACACUGGCUUCCCAUUAAGGCAAGGGCUGAUUUCAAGGUUUUACUGCUAACCUACAAAGCAUUACAUGGGCUUGCUCUUAUCUAUCUUUCCGAUUUCGUCCUGCCGUACAUACCUACACGUACGCUACGGUCACAAGACACAGGCCUCCUUACUGUCCCUAGAAUUUCUAAGCAAACAGCUGGAGGCAGCACUUUCUCCUAUAGAGCUACAUUUUUAUGGCAUGGUCUGCCUACCCAUGUGAGGGACGCAGACUCGGUCUCAACCUUUAAGUCUUUAUUGAAGACUCAUCUCUUCAGUAGGUCCUAUGAUUGAGUGUAAUCUGGCCCAGGAGUGUGAAGGUGAAUGGAAAGGCCCUGGAGCAACGAAGCGCCCUUGCUGUCUCUGCCUGGCCUCUAACCCUUUUACAGGGGCCGAGUCACUGGCUUACUGGUGCUCUUCCAUGCCGUCCCUAGGAGGGGUGCGUCACUUGAAUAGGUUGAGUCACUGACGUGAAAGUUUCUUCCAGCGCCGACAGAGAUGGCCGCCUCGCUUCGCGUUCCUAGGAAACUAUGCAGUUUUUAUAGUUUAUUUACGUGUUAUUUCUUACAUUGGUACCCCAGGUCAUCUUAGGUUUCAUUACAUACAGUUGAGAAGAACUACUGAAUAUAAGAGCAGCGUCAACUCACCAUCAGUACGACCAAGAAUAUGACUUUCCCGAAGCAGAUCCUGUGUUCUGCCUUUCACCCAGGACAAAGCUACCCUUGCUCGGAAAUCCGAGCAAGGGUAGCAUUCCAGAGGGACAUCAGAGACUGUAACGUUCUUUGCUUCACGGAAACAUGGCUCACUCGAGAUACGCUAUCGGAGUCGGUGCAGCCAGCUGGUUUCUCCACGCAUCGCGCCGACAGAAAAAACAUCUUUCUGGUAAGAAGAGGGGAGGGGGCGUAUGCUUUAUGGUCAACAAGACGUGGUGUGGUCACAACAACAUACAGGAACUUCCUUCUGUUCACCUGAUUUAGAAUUCCUCACAAUCAAAUGUCGACCGCAUUAUCUACCAAGGGAAUUCUCUUCGAUUAUAAUCACAGCCGUAUAUAUUCCCCCCCAAGCAGACACAUUGAUGGCUCUGAACAAACUUUAUUUGACUCUUUGCAAACUGGAAACCACAUAUCCUGAGGCUGCAUUCAUUGUAGCUGGGGAUUUUAACAAGGCUAAUCUGAAAACAAGACUCCCUAAAUUGUAUCAGCAUAUCGAUUGCGCAAACCAGGGCUGGUAAAACCUUGGAUCAUUGCUAUUCUAACUUCCGCGACGCAUAUAAGGCCCUCCUCCGCCCUCCUUUCGGGAAAGCUGACCACGACUCCACUUUGUUGCUCCCUGCCUACAGACAGAAGCUAAAACAACAAGCUCCCGCGCUGAAGUCUGUUCAACGCUGGUCUGACCAAUCUGAUUCCACGCUCCAAGACUGCUUCCAUCACGUUGACUGGGAUAAGUUUCGUAUUGCGUCAAACAACAACAUUGAUGAAUACGCUGAUUCGGUGAGCGAGUUCAUUAGAACGUGCGUGGAAGAUGUCGUUCCCAUAGCAACGAUUAAAACAUUCCCAAACCAGAAACCGUGGAUUGAUGGCAGCAUUCUCGUGAAACUGAAAGCGCAAACCACUGCUUUUAAUCAGGGCAAGGUGACCGGAAACAUGACCGAAUACAAACAGUGUAGCUAUUCCCUCCGCAAGGCAAUCAAACAAGCUAAGCGUCAGUAUAGAGACAAAGUAGAAUCGCAAUUCAACGGCUCAGACACAAGAGGUAUGUGGCAGGGUCUACAGUCAAUCACGGAUUACAAAAAGAAAACCAGCCCAGUCACGGACCAGGAUGUCUUGCUCCCAGGCAGACUAAAUAACUUUUUUGUCCGCUUUGAGGACAAUACAGUGCCACUGACACGGCCCGCAACCAAAACAUGCGGACUGAGUAAAACAUUUAAACGUGUUAACCCUCGCAAGGCUGCAGGCCCAGACGGCAUCCCCAGCCGCGCCCUCAGAGCAUGCACAGACCAGCUGGCUGGUGUGUUUACGAACAUAUUCAAUCAAUCCUUAUCCCAGUCUGCUGUUCCCACAUGCUUCAAGAGGGCCACCAUUGUUCCUGUUCCCAAGAAAGCUAAGGUAACUGAGCUAAACGACUACUGCCCCGUAGCACUCACUUCCGUCAGACUAGUCAAGGACCAUAUCACCUCCAACCUACCUGACACCCUAGACCCACUCCAAUUUGCUUACCGCCCAAAUAGGUCCAGAGACGAUGCAAUCUCAACCAUACUGCACACUGCCCUAACCCAUCUGGAUAAGAGGAAUACCUAUGUGAGAAUGCUGUUCAUCGACUACAGCGCAGCAUUUAACACCAUUAGUACCCUCCAAACUCGCCAUCAAGCUCGAGACCCUGGGUCUCGACCCCGCCCUGUGCAACUGGGUACUGGACUUCCUGACGGGCCGCCCCCAGGUGGUGAGGGUCGGUAACAACAUCUCCACCCCGUUGAUCCUCAACACUGGGGCCCCACAAGGGUGCGUUCUAAGCCCUCUCAAUUCAACGGCUCAGACACAAGAGGUAUGUGGCAGGGUCUACAGUCAAUCACGGAUUGACUGCACGCCUCCAACUCAAUCAUCAAGUUUGCGGACGACACAACAGUGGUAGGCUUGAUUACCAACAACGACGAGACGGCCUACAGGGAGGAGGUGAGGUUCCCUCGGAGUGUGGUGUCAGGAAAAUAACCUCACACUCAACGUCAACAAAACUAAGGAGAUGAUUGUGGACUUCAGGAAACAGCAGAGGGAACACCACCCUAUUCACAUCAGUGGGACAGUAGUGGAGAGGGUAGUAAGUUUUAAGUUCCUCGGCGUACACAUCACAGACAAACUGAAUUGGUCCACCCACACAGACAGCAUCGUGAAGAAGGCGCAGCAGCGCCUCUUCAACCUCAGGAGGCUGAAGAAAUUUGGCUUGUCACCAAAAGCACUCACAAACUUCUACAGAUGCACAAUCGAGAGCAUCCUGUCGGGCUGUAUUACCGCCUGGUACGGCAACUGCUCCGCCCACAACCGUAAGGCUCUCCAGAGGGUAGUGAGGUCUGCACAACGCAUCACUGGGGGCAAAUUACACCACCCGAUGUCACAGGAAGGCCAUAAAGAUCAUCAAGGACAACAACCACCCGAGCCACUGCCUGUUCACCCCGCUAUCAUCCAGAAGGCGAGGUCAGUACAGGUGCAUCAAAGCUGGGACCGAGAGACUGAAAAACAGCUUCUAUCUCAAGGCCAUCAGACUGUUAAACAGCCACCACUAACAUUGAGUGGCUGCUGCCAACACACUGACUCAACUCCAGCCACUUUAAUAAUGGGAAUUGAUGUAAAAUAUAUCACUAGUCACUUUAAACAAUGCUACUUAAUAUAAUGUUUACAUACCCUACAUUAUUUAUCUCAUAUGUAUACGUAUAUACUGUACUCUAUAUCAUCUACUGCAUCUUUAUGUAAUACAUGUAUCACUAGCCACUUUAAACUAUGCCACUUUGUUUACAUACUCAUCUCAUAUGUAUAUACUGUACUCGAUACUAUCUACUGCAUCUUGCCUAUGCCGCUCUGUACCAUCACUCAUUCAUAUAUCUUUAUGUACAUAUUCUUUAUCCAUUUACACUUGUGUGUAUGAGGUACUAGUUUUGGAAUUGUUAGCUAGAUUACUCGUUGGUUAUUACUGCAUUGUCGGAACUAGAAGCACAAGCAUUUCGCUACACUCGCAUUAACAUCUGCUAACCAUGUGUAUGAGACAAAUACAUUUGAUUUGAUUUUUAUUCCUGUCCGGGUUGGCACCCCCGCCUUGGGUUGUGCCGUGGCGGAGAUCUUUGUGGGCAAUACUUGGCUUUGUCUCAAGAUGGUAAGUUGAUGGUUUAAGAUAUUCCUCUAGUGGUGUGGGGGCUGUGCUUAGGCAAAGUGGGUGGGGUUAUAUCCUGCCUGUUGGCCCUGUCCGGGGGUAUCGUCGGAUGGGGCCACAGUGUCUUCUGACCCCUCCUGUCUCAGCCUCCAGUAUUUAUGCUGCAGUAGUUUAUGUGUCUGGGGGCUAGGGUCAGUCUGUUAUAUCUGGAGUAUUUCUCCUGUCUUAUCCUGUGUCCUGUGUGAAUUUAAGUAUGCGCUCCCUAAUUUUUUUUUUUUCUCUCUCUCUCUCUCUCUCUCUCUCUCUCUCUCUCUCAUUCUUUCUUUCUUUCUCUAUAACCUUGCCUCAGGACUUCCUGGCCUGAUGACUCCUUCCUGUCCCCAGUCCACCUGGCCAUGAUGCUGCUCCAGUUUCAACUGUUCUGCCUGAGGCUAUGGAACCCUGACCUGUUCAUCAGACCUGCUGUUUUCAACUCUCUAGAGACAGCAGGAACGGUAGAGAUACUCUGAAUGAUUGUCUAAGAAAAGUCAACUGACAUUAACUCCUGAGAUGCUGACCUGUUGCAUCCUCGACAACCUCUGUGAUUAUUAUUAUUUGACCCUGCUGGUCAUCUAUGAACAUUUGAACAUCUUGGGAUGUUCUGUUAUAAUCUCCACCCGGCACAGCCAGAGGAGGACUGGCCACCCCUCAUAGCCUGGUUCCUCUCUAGUUUUCUUCCUAGGUUCUGGCCUUUCGAGUGAGUAUUUCCUAGCAACCGUGCUUCUACACCUGCAUUGCUUGCUGUUUGGGGUUUUAGGCUGGGUUUUUGUACAGCACUUUGUGGCAUCAGCUGACGUAAGAAGAGCUUUAUAAAUACAUUUGAUUGAUUGAUUGAAUCCCUGGCCAGUAAAACCUCCUCACAAUCUUGUCUCAGGUUUUAUCAAUACCAAGGUGCCAUUUUGUGCUUUGCAGUUCACCAUCUGGCCACACCCUAGUGAGAGGGCAGAGCCCGUUUAUUUGUUCUGCCCUCACAUAUCUGCCAUUUAUCACUCAGCCCCCUUCUUUGUCACAAAAUCUACCUCAAAUACCUCAUACCUCUGCACAUCAACUCGGUCCUGGUACUCCCUGUAUAUAUAUACAUAUAUACACUAAAAUAACACAUCCUAGAUCUGAAUGAAUGAAAUAUUCUUAUUAAAUACUUUUUUCUUUACAUAGUUAAAUGUGCUGACAACAAAAUCACACAAAACUUAUCAAUGGAAAUCAAAUUUAUCAACCCAUCGUGGUCUGGAUUUGGAGUCACACUCAAAAUUAAAGUGGAAAACCACACUACAGGCUGAACCAUCUUUGAUGUAAUGUCCUUAAAACAAGUCAAAAUGAGGCUCAGUAGUGUGUGUGGCCUCCACGUGCCUGUAUGACCUCCCUACAACGCCUGGGCAUGCUCCUGAUGAGGUGGAGGAUGGUCUCCUGAGGGAUCCAUAGCAUCAAUGCCUUCCUCUUGCAGGAACUGCUGACACACUCCAGCCACAUGAGGUCUAGCAUUGUCUUGCGUUAGGAGGAACCCAGGGCCAACCGCACCAGCAUAUGGUCUCACAAGGGGUCUGAGGAUCUCAUCUCGGUACCUAGUGGCAGUCAGGCUACCUCUGGCGAGCACAUGGAGGGCUGUGCGGCCCCCCAAAGAAAUGCCACCCCACACCAUGACUGGCCCACCGCCAAACCGGUCAUGCUGGAGGAUGUUGCAGGCAGCAGAACGUUCUCCACGGCAUCUCCAGAAUCUGUCACGUCUGUCACAUGUGCUCAGUGUGAACCUGCUUUCAUCUGUGAAGAGCACAGGGCGCCAGUGGUGAAUUUGCCAAUAUUGGUGUUCUCUGGCAAUGAAAAACAUCCUGCACGGUGUUGGGCUGUAAGCACAACCCCCACCUGUGGACAUCGGGCCCUCUGUUUCUGUUUCUGACCGUUUGAGCAGACACAUGCACAUUUGUGGCCUGCUGGAGGUCAUUUUGCAGGAUUCUGGCAGUGCUCCUCCUGCUCCUCCUUGCACAAAGGCGGAGGUAGUGGUCCUGCUGCUGGGUUGUUGCCCUCCUUCCGCCUCCUCCACGUCUCCUGAUGUACUGGCCUGUCUUCUGGUAGCGCCUCCAUGCUCUGGACACUAUGCAGACAGACACAGCAAACCUUCUUGCCACAGCUCGCAUUGAUGUCCCAUCCUGGAUGAGCUGCACUACCUGAGCCACUUGUGUGGGUUGUAGACUCCGUCUCAUGCUACCACUAGAGUGAAAGCACCGCCAGCAUUCAAAAGUGACCAAAACAUCAGCCAGGAAGCAUAGGAACUGAGAAGUGGUCUGUGGUCACCACCUGCAGAACCACUCCUUUAUUGGGGGUGUCUUGCUAAUUGCCUAUAAUUUCCACCUGUUGUCUAUUCCAUUUGCACAACAUCAUGUGACAUUUAUUGUCAAUCAGUGUUGCUUCCUAAGUGGACAGUUUGAUUUCACAGAAGUGUGAUUGACUUGGAGUUACAUUGUGUUUUUUAAGUGUUCCCUUUAUUUUUUUGAGCAGUGUAUAUAUAUAUAUUUAUAUAUGUGUAUGUAUCUAUUCCUCUUGUGUUACUGUUUUUCUUUGUAUUAUUAUUUUGUAACUCUACGUUGUUGGGAAGGGCUCGUAAACAAGCAAUUCACGAUUAAGUCUUGUAUUCGCAGCAUGUGAAAAAUUAAAUUAGAUUUGAUUUCACUUUCUACAUCUGUCAUUUGGUGCUGCAGUACACUUAUAAACAUAAAAACUAUAGAGUUAACAGACUUCACAACACCAUCCCAAUGCUGUUUGAUGCGCAGCCAAUCUGCUGCAUUGUGGGUAGGAUCAAAGGCGGUCCAGAAAGCAGGAUGGCCUCACACUGGCACAGAAUGAGCUUGGUUGCAUCCCAUCCCAACACAAAACAAACCAAAUGAAUGAAUGAAGUAAACAAAAGCCUAAUCAAAUUAACCUUCUCAUCAAUCCCUGCCUCAGUUUCCUCCGCUUUGUAAAUGAGGAGUAUGGAUAUUUCAAUAGCUCAAACAAAUAAAGAUAAUUUAAGUAUGGCAUACGUGUCAGUGUGCUAGUGUUGAUUAAUUCAUGACUGUGGCAUCCAAAGGGAUAAUGCCUUAGUCUCUCACACUAAAGACCCAGGUGUUGUGGUAUUGUGAUGAAUAUCAAAAGGGGAUACAAAUGUUUCCCUCAGGUAAAUCCAAGGGGAACUUUCUGAAUAUAUCAUUAUACUGUAUUCUGCAGACAGUAGCACGUUUGUAUGAAGGCGUGGUUAUUCACAGGCAAAUUGCUAUAUGCUAAGGAGGUACAUUUGUGUCUUUUUGUCGAGGGCAAAACCUUUUUGAUUUUCAAUCAAAAAUAAUCUAAAUUAAAAGUCAAAGCGGACACCUAUGAAGAUGGCAUCUCAGGUAAGCAGCACUGGGCUGUACUGACGUAUCCUAAAAAUGACAUCUGCUGCAUUAGAUUGAACGGUCACAUCUCAGUUAUUGUUUUCAUAUCUACAAAAAAUAAGCUGUUUUCUUUACUUUCAGAAAGCGAGCUGACCAAGGGGUCGAAAAAGUAGAUAUUGCCAGAUGUUCACUGUCCGAGAAACAGGCCAUGGGAAGCUUUAUUGAUGGCAAAAGUGUACAUAACCAGAGCAUAAAGUACUCUGUAGCCACUUAGUGUGGACACCAUGUGAGACCACACACAGUCUCUCUUCUUCACUUCAUCCCUCUCCCACAUCUCCCUAAAUCCUCUGGGUUAUACCAGCUAUUUUGGUGAACCCCUCCCGCAUCUGAACUGGCAGAUACAGAGGGCUAAGCAUGAUGUGACUUGGUCGGGUCAACAAGAGGUAUUAUUAAAGAGAUGCAAUACAGACAGAGAUGUAGUAGUCCCAGAGUUAAUGAUCCAAGGUCAGUUUUGCAUUUCACCUCCUGAUUUAAGAUGACUGACCGUGUUAGAAUUUAAAAAACCAAUCCUAAAUCAUGCUCUCUCGUCUGCAGGUAUGUUUUGAUGUGAGAGAGGAAGCCAGUCCUGUCAUCGCCACCUCAGCCGCUCUUAGGAUAACCUUCGGGCCAACUGGGGGCCCAAGGCUGGUUAGGAGACACCGCAAUUGUGAUGAACUGAGAGAAUAUUAGGGUAGCACUGUAAUUGAUGAAUCAUAUACUGUCUGCCUCUGUUCUUACCUCUUUCCCUUUCUGUCUUCUACACCUCUCUCCCCACCUUGUCUUUCUUCCUCGUUUUAUAAUGCACAACAUAUGCCCAUUGAAGUAUUUAUAAUAUUACAAUUAUCAUAAUUAUAAUGCAUUUAUGUAUUUAUAACACCUGGAUAAUGAACUUCUUUCAAUAAAGCGUUUCACAUUC
Molecule: long non-coding RNA, 9268 nt
Organism: Oncorhynchus nerka (sockeye salmon)
Lineage: Eukaryota; Metazoa; Chordata; Actinopteri; Salmoniformes; Salmonidae
Exons: 2
Source: RefSeq, a predicted model, not a curated record